This 2900-nucleotide ribosomal RNA is filed under the name Klebsiella pneumoniae. RNAcentral's name for it is "23S ribosomal RNA". It matches the Rfam family "Bacterial large subunit ribosomal RNA". The record is from RNAcentral. Lineage: Bacteria; Pseudomonadati; Pseudomonadota; Gammaproteobacteria; Enterobacterales; Enterobacteriaceae. RNAcentral also lists the same sequence under 4 other names.
UUAAGCGACUAAGCGUACACGGUGGAUGCCCUGGCAGUCAGAGGCGAUGAAGGACGUGCUAAUCUGCGAAAAGCGUCGGUAAGGUGAUAUGAACCGUUAUAACCGGCGAUGUCCGAAUGGGGAAACCCAGUGUGAUUCGUCACACUAUCGUUAACUGAAUACAUAGGUUAACGAGGCGAACCGGGGGAACUGAAACAUCUAAGUACCCCGAGGAAAAGAAAUCAACCGAGAUUCCCCCAGUAGCGGCGAGCGAACGGGGAGCAGCCCAGAGUCUGAAUCAGCUUGUGUGUUAGUGGAACGGUCUGGAAAGUCCGACGGUACAGGGUGAUAGUCCCGUACACCAAAAUGCACAGGCUGUGAACUCGAAGAGUAGGGCGGGACACGUGGUAUCCUGUCUGAAUAUGGGGGGACCAUCCUCCAAGGCUAAAUACUCCUGACUGACCGAUAGUGAACCAGUACCGUGAGGGAAAGGCGAAAAGAACCCCGGCGAGGGGAGUGAAAAAGAACCUGAAACCGUGUACGUACAAGCAGUGGGAGCACCUUCGGGUGUGACUGCGUACCUUUUGUAUAAUGGGUCAGCGACUUAUAUUCUGUAGCAAGGUUAACCGUAUAGGGGAGCCGCAGGGAAACCGAGUCUUAACUGGGCGUUAAGUUGCAGGGUAUAGACCCGAAACCCGGUGAUCUAGCCAUGGGCAGGUUGAAGGUUGGGUAACACUAACUGGAGGACCGAACCGACUAAUGUUGAAAAAUUAGCGGAUGACUUGUGGCUGGGGGUGAAAGGCCAAUCAAACCGGGAGAUAGCUGGUUCUCCCCGAAAGCUAUUUAGGUAGCGCCUCGUGAACUCAUCUUCGGGGGUAGAGCACUGUUUCGGCUAGGGGGUCAUCCCGACUUACCAACCCGAUGCAAACUACGAAUACCGAAGAAUGUUAUCACGGGAGACACACGGCGGGUGCUAACGUCCGUCGUGAAGAGGGAAACAACCCAGACCGCCAGCUAAGGUCCCAAAGUCAUGGUUAAGUGGGAAACGAUGUGGGAAGGCACAGACAGCCAGGAUGUUGGCUUAGAAGCAGCCAUCAUUUAAAGAAAGCGUAAUAGCUCACUGGUCGAGUCGGCCUGCGCGGAAGAUGUAACGGGGCUAAACCAUGCACCGAAGCUGCGGCAGCGACACUAUGUGUUGUUGGGUAGGGGAGCGUUCUGUAAGCCUGCGAAGGUGUGCUGUGAGGCAUGCUGGAGGUAUCAGAAGUGCGAAUGCUGACAUAAGUAACGAUAAAGCGGGUGAAAAGCCCGCUCGCCGGAAGACCAAGGGUUCCUGUCCAACGUUAAUCGGGGCAGGGUGAGUCGACCCCUAAGGCGAGGCCGAAAGGCGUAGUCGAUGGGAAACAGGUUAAUAUUCCUGUACUUGGUGUUACUGCGAAGGGGGGACGGAGAAGGCUAUGUUAGCCGGGCGACGGUUGUCCCGGUUUAAGCAUGUAGGCUGGUUAUCCAGGCAAAUCCGGAUAAUCAAGGCUGAGGUGUGAUGACGAGGCACUACGGUGCUGAAGUAACAAAUGCCCUGCUUCCAGGAAAAGCCUCUAAGCAUCAGGUAACAUCAAAUCGUACCCCAAACCGACACAGGUGGUCAGGUAGAGAAUACCAAGGCGCUUGAGAGAACUCGGGUGAAGGAACUAGGCAAAAUGGUGCCGUAACUUCGGGAGAAGGCACGCUGGUGUGUAGGUGAAGCCCCUGCGGGUGGAGCUGAGACCAGUCGAAGAUACCAGCUGGCUGCAACUGUUUAUUAAAAACACAGCACUGUGCAAACACGAAAGUGGACGUAUACGGUGUGACGCCUGCCCGGUGCCGGAAGGUUAAUUGAUGGGGUUAUCCGUAAGGAGAAGCUCUUGAUCGAAGCCCCGGUAAACGGCGGCCGUAACUAUAACGGUCCUAAGGUAGCGAAAUUCCUUGUCGGGUAAGUUCCGACCUGCACGAAUGGCGUAAUGAUGGCCAGGCUGUCUCCACCCGAGACUCAGUGAAAUUGAACUCGCUGUGAAGAUGCAGUGUACCCGCGGCAAGACGGAAAGACCCCGUGAACCUUUACUAUAGCUUGACACUGAACAUUGAGCCUUGAUGUGUAGGAUAGGUGGGAGGCUUUGAAGCGUGGACGCCAGUCUGCGUGGAGCCAACCUUGAAAUACCACCCUUUAAUGUUUGAUGUUCUAACGUUGGCCCCUUACCGGGGUUGCGGACAGUGUCUGGUGGGUAGUUUGACUGGGGCGGUCUCCUCCCAAAGCGUAACGGAGGAGCACGAAGGUUAGCUAAUCCUGGUCGGACAUCAGGAGGUUAGUGCAAUGGCAUAAGCUAGCUUGACUGCGAGCGUGACGGCGCGAGCAGGUGCGAAAGCAGGUCAUAGUGAUCCGGUGGUUCUGAAUGGAAGGGCCAUCGCUCAACGGAUAAAAGGUACUCCGGGGAUAACAGGCUGAUACCGCCCAAGAGUUCAUAUCGACGGCGGUGUUUGGCACCUCGAUGUCGGCUCAUCACAUCCUGGGGCUGAAGUAGGUCCCAAGGGUAUGGCUGUUCGCCAUUUAAAGUGGUACGCGAGCUGGGUUUAGAACGUCGUGAGACAGUUCGGUCCCUAUCUGCCGUGGGCGCUGGAGAAUUGAGGGGGGCUGCUCCUAGUACGAGAGGACCGGAGUGGACGCAUCACUGGUGUUCGGGUUGUCAUGCCAAUGGCACUGCCCGGUAGCUAAAUGCGGAAGAGAUAAGUGCUGAAAGCAUCUAAGCACGAAACUUGCCCCGAGAUGAGUUCUCCCUGAGACUUUAAGUCUCCUGAAGGAACGUUGAAGACGACGACGUUGAUAGGCCGGGUGUGUAAGCGCAGCGAUGCGUUGAGCUAACCGGUACUAAUGAACCGUGAGGCUUAACCUU